Molecule: ribosomal RNA, 1343 nt
Filed under: uncultured bacterium
Lineage: Bacteria
Description: 16S ribosomal RNA
Rfam family: Bacterial small subunit ribosomal RNA
Source: RNAcentral
GACGAACGCUGGCGGCGUGCUUAACACAUGCAAGUCGAACGGAAAGGCCCUGCUUUUGUGGGGUGCUCGAGUGGCGAACGGGUGAGUAACACGUGAGUAACCUGCCCUUGACUUUGGGAUAACUUCAGGAAACUGGGGCUAAUACCGGAUAGGAGCUCCUGCUGCAUGGUGGGGGUCGGAAAGUUUCGGCGGUUGGGGAUGGACUCGCGGCUUAUCAGCUUGUUGGUGGGGUAGUGGCUUACCAAGGCUUUGACGGGUAGCCGGCCUGAGAGGGUGACCGGCCACAUUGGGACUGAGAUACGGCCCAGACUCCUACGGGAGGCAGCAGUGGGGAAUAUUGCACAAUGGGCGGAAGCCUGAUGCAGCAACGCCGCGUGCGGGAUGACGGCCUUCGGGUUGUAAACCGCUUUCGCCUGUGACGAAGCGUGAGUGACGGUAAUGGGUAAAGAAGCACCGGCUAACUACGUGCCAGCAGCCGCGGUGAUACGUAGGGUGCGAGCGUUGUCCGGAUUUAUUGGGCGUAAAGGGCUCGUAGGUGGUUGAUCGCGUCGGAAGUGUAAUCUUGGGGCUUAACCCUGAGCGUGCUUUCGAUACGGGUUGACUUGAGGAAGGUAGGGGAGAAUGGAAUUCCUGGUGGAGCGGUGGAAUGCGCAGAUAUCAGGAGGAACACCAGUGGCGAAGGCGGUUCUCUGGGCCUUUCCUGACGCUGAGGAGCGAAAGCGUGGGGAGCGAACAGGCUUAGAUACCCUGGUAGUCCACGCUGUAAACGGUGGGUACUAGGUGUGGGGUCCAUUCCACGGGUUCCGUGCCGUAGCUAACGCUUUAAGUACCCCGCCUGGGGAGUACGGCCGCAAGGCUAAAACUCAAAGGAAUUGACGGGGCCCCGCACAAGCGGCGGAGCAUGCGGAUUAAUUCGAUGCAACGCGUAGAACCUUACCUGGGUUUGACAUGGAUCGGGAGCGCUCAGAGAUGGGUGUGCCUCUUUUGGGGUCGGUUCACAGGUGGUGCAUGGCUGUCGUCAGCUCGUGUCGUGAGAUGUUGGGUUAAGUCCCGCAACGAGCGCAACCCUUGUUCACUGUUGCCAGCACGUUAUGGUGGGGACUCAGUGGAGACCGCCGGGGUCAACUCGGAGGAAGGUGGGGAUGACGUCAAGUCAUCAUGCCCCUUAUGUCCAGGGCUUCACGCAUGCUACAAUGGCUGGUACAGAGAGUGGCGAGCCUGUGAGGGUGAGCGAAUCUCGGAAAGCCGGUCUCAGUUCGGAUUGGGGUCUGCAACUCGACCUCAUGAAGUCGGAGUCGCUAGUAAUCGCAGAUCAGCAACGCUGCGGUGAAUACGUUCCCGGG